UCUCCGUAGGUGAACCUGCGGAGGGAUCAUUACAGAGUUCAUGCCCUCACGGGUAGAUCUCCCACCCUGUGUUAUUAUACUUUGUUGCUUUGGCAGGCCGCCCGCGUGGGCUACCGGCUCCAGCUGGUAAGUGCCCGCCAGAGGACCCCAAACUCUGAAUAUUUUAUUGUCUGAGUACUAUAUAAUAGUUUAAAACUUUCAACAACGGAUCUCUUGGUUCUG
This 222-nucleotide unclassified non-coding RNA is filed under the name plant metagenome. RNAcentral describes it as "partial contains small subunit ribosomal RNA, internal transcribed spacer 1, and 5.8S ribosomal RNA". The record is from RNAcentral.